This 76-nucleotide transfer RNA is filed under the name Maribacter algarum (ex Zhang et al. 2020). Its description in RNAcentral is "Maribacter sp. RZ26 tRNA-Cys". It matches the Rfam family "tRNA". From Rfam's summary of the family: Transfer RNA (tRNA) molecules are approximately 80 nucleotides in length. Their secondary structure includes four short double-helical elements and three loops (D, anti-codon, and T loops). Further hydrogen bonds mediate the characteristic L-shaped molecular structure. tRNAs have two regions of fundamental functional importance: the anti-codon, which is responsible for specific mRNA codon recognition, and the 3' end, to which the tRNAs corresponding amino acid is attached (by aminoacyl-tRNA synthetases). tRNAs cope with the degeneracy of the genetic code in two manners: having more than one tRNA (with a specific anti-codon) for a particular amino acid; and 'wobble' base-pairing, i.e. permitting non-standard base-pairing at the 3rd anti-codon position. Lineage: Bacteria; Pseudomonadati; Bacteroidota; Flavobacteriia; Flavobacteriales; Flavobacteriaceae. The record is from RNAcentral.
GACAUGGUGGCUGAAUGGUUAAGGCAAUGGUCUGCAAAAUCAUUUUUUAUGAGUUCGAAUCUCAUCCUUGUCUCUA